RNAcentral lists this ribosomal RNA (406 nucleotides) under uncultured bacterium. RNAcentral describes it as "partial 16S ribosomal RNA". It matches the Rfam family "Bacterial small subunit ribosomal RNA", at positions 28 to 526 of the family's 1533-position model. The record is from RNAcentral.
GACGAACGCUGGCGGCGUGCUUAACACAUGCAAGUCGAACGAGUGGCGAACGGGUGAGUAAUACGUGAGUAACCUGCCCUCUUUUUGGGAUAAGCCUUGGAAACGGGGUCUAAUACCGAAUAAAGGGGGAUGGGCUCGCGGCCUAUCAGCUUGUUGGUGGGGUGAUGGCCUACCAAGGCGGUGACGGGUAGCCGGCCUGAGAGGGUGACCGUCCACAGUGGGACUGAGAUACGGCCCAGACUCCUACGGGAGGCAGCAGUUGGGGAUAUUCCACUAUGGGCGAAAGCCAGAUGCAGCGACGCCGCGUAGGGGAUGAAGGCUUACGGGUUGUAAACCUCUUUCGCGAGCGAAGGGGUAGGUAGAGAAGAAGCGCCGGCUAACUACGUGCCAGCAGCCGCGGUAAUUC